Long non-coding RNA from Oreochromis aureus, 731 nucleotides. The record is from Ensembl. Lineage: Eukaryota; Metazoa; Chordata; Actinopteri; Cichliformes; Cichlidae.
AGGAUGAUGAAUGGACCCCCAAAUAUUCUAAUAUUUUUUAUAGCAAGUAAUGUUAGGCUGCUUUCUAGUUAGAAGCCACACAUAGGUGGGGUAACGGACUCUUGUGGCUUUGAAUAUCUUUACGUGAGCCAGCCUGACCACUGGUGUUGAGUCACGAGCAAUUUAAGAAUAAGGUUCAAUGACAAGGGGAGUAGCCAUAGGGGCUGCAUCUGCUGUGGCUGCUAGAAGAAAGUUUGACCUCCCGGAAAACGUCCUAGCAACUUGAUCGAAAAGUGACCUAUAACCAAACACAAAUUAACAGCAGCAGCAGCAACAGCAGCGCUGGAUUAUGAUAACUUGGAGUGCUGGAGAAAGGGAGCUGAGAGAGGAACUGCUUGCAGCAGGAAGUAGAGGUCAACACAAGAUUUCGGGGGUUUUGCUCUCUAAUGGACCCGCACGAGGUUCGAUAGACCAGAAGUCCAUCAUGAUCCACAAACAUCUGGAAUAAUGACCGGAGUCUACGACUAAGGACGUGGAAUACAUUCUGCUGAUCUCAGAGGUAAAUAAGUUAUCCUGAUUAAGAAGAACGGAGCCAAACUUUCAGCAAGCCAGAGCCUUACAACAGCCUGAAAAUAGUACUUACUGUGCCUUUGUUCUGAUGGGUAUCAUAUUUUCUUUUCUUUUUUUUAAUGGAAAAACACUUCUUAAAAUAGGAUGAAAAUAUUCUACACAUUAAAACAUGUAUUUAUUUC